GACGUGGAUAGGCUGGGUGUGUAAGUGCAGCGAUGCAUUGAGCUGACCAGUACUAAUGAACCGAGAGGCUUAACCUUACAACACCGAAGGUGUU
This 94-nucleotide ribosomal RNA is filed under the name Photorhabdus laumondii subsp. laumondii. Its description in RNAcentral is "partial 23S ribosomal RNA". The stretch from base 1 to 77 matches the Rfam family "Bacterial large subunit ribosomal RNA", at positions 2849 to 2925 of the family's 2925-position model. Lineage: Bacteria; Pseudomonadati; Pseudomonadota; Gammaproteobacteria; Enterobacterales; Morganellaceae. The record is from RNAcentral.